GCGUCAGCUGUCAAAACAGAAGAGUUCAGUCCAGAAGGCAGCUCUGUUACUCUGUCCUACAGAUUCUCCAAACAAGCAGCUAGUGGUGAUUAUUUCUUCUGGUAUCGACAAUAUCCAGGAGAACCACCAGAGUUCCUCCUGUCUAUCUCAGGGGUUAAUUUAAUAAACAAAGCAGAAUCACUUGGAUCGGACACCAGGUUCUUCACUGACCUGUCUGAAGGAAAGAAACGAGUGGAUCUGCAGAUCUCCUCUGCUGCAGUGACAGACUCUGCUGUCUACUACUGUGCUGUGAAGCCCACAGUGACAGGAAACACCAACACUCUGUACAAAAACCUCUGGAGCAAAGACAACACAAUACUGAUCAACAUACACCAGAGGGAGUCUCUCUCUGUUAAACAUCAAUAG
Non-coding RNA from Notothenia coriiceps (black rockcod), 405 nucleotides. The record is from the annotation of a RefSeq genome assembly. NCBI's taxonomy places the organism in Eukaryota, Metazoa, Chordata, Actinopteri, Perciformes, Nototheniidae.